CUGGCUUCCAAAGGCCUCUGUGUGUUCCUGUAUGUGGGCGUGCACGUACCUGUCACAUGUGUACGCGCAGACCACAGGAUGUCCACACUGGCUUCCAAACACAUCU
MicroRNA precursor from Homo sapiens (human), 106 nucleotides. The record is from Ensembl. Lineage: Eukaryota; Metazoa; Chordata; Mammalia; Primates; Hominidae.